RNAcentral lists this ribosomal RNA (497 nucleotides) under uncultured bacterium. RNAcentral describes it as "partial 16S ribosomal RNA". It matches the Rfam family "Bacterial small subunit ribosomal RNA", at positions 28 to 507 of the family's 1533-position model. The record is from RNAcentral.
GAUGAACGCUGGCGGCGUACCUAAUACAUGCAAGUCGAGCGAACAGACGAGGCGCUUGCUCCUCUGACGUUAGCGGCGGACGGGUGAGUAACACGUGGAUAACCUACCUAUAAGACUGGGAUAACUUCGGGAAACCGGAGCUAAUACCGGAUAAUAUAUUGAACCGCAUGGUUCAAUAGUGAAAGACGGUUUUGCUGUCACUUAUAGAUGGAUCCGCGCCGCAUUAGCUAGUUGGUAAGGUAACGGCUUACCAAGGCAACGAUGCGUAGCCGACCUGAGAGGGUGAUCGGCCACACUGGAACUGAGACACGGUCCAGACUCCUACGGGAGGCAGCAGUAGGGAAUCUUCCGCAAUGGGCGAAAGCCUGACGGAGCAACGCCGCGUGAGUGAUGAAGGUCUUCGGAUCGUAAAACUCUGUUAUUAGGGAAGAACAAAUGUGUAAGUAACUAUGCACGUCUUGACGGUACCUAAUCAGAAAGCCACGGCUAACUACGUG